This 24-nucleotide unclassified non-coding RNA is filed under the name Mus musculus (house mouse). Its description in RNAcentral is "oocyte_clustered_small_RNA6946". The record is from RNAcentral. Lineage: Eukaryota; Metazoa; Chordata; Mammalia; Rodentia; Muridae.
UACUCACUGGCAGGAGGCGGAGAG